GACGAACGCUGGCGGCGUGCCUAAUACAUGCAAGUAGGACGCAGUUGCGAACGGGUGAGUAACGCGUAGGUAACUACCUAUUAGAGGGGGAUAACUAUUGGAAACGAUAGCUAAUACCGCAUACUAGUAGAUGGACCUGCGUUGUAUUAGCUAGUAGGUAGGGUAAUGGCCUACCUAGGCAACGAUACAUAGCCGACCUGGGAUGGUGAUGAACGCCACCGGGACUGGGACGCGGACCAGAGUCCUACGGGAGGCAGCAGUAGGGGAGCUUCGGCAAUGGGGGGAACCCUGACCGAGCAACGCCGCGUGAGUGAGGAGGGUUUUCGGAUCGUAAAGCUCUGUUGUUAAGGAAGCGGUACUUAACCAGAAAGGGACGGCUAACUACGUGCCAGCAGCCGCGGUAAUUC
RNAcentral lists this ribosomal RNA (407 nucleotides) under uncultured bacterium. RNAcentral's name for it is "partial 16S ribosomal RNA". It matches the Rfam family "Bacterial small subunit ribosomal RNA", at positions 28 to 526 of the family's 1533-position model. The record is from RNAcentral.